ACUACGGGUGGCAGCAGUGAGGAAUAUUGGUCAAUGGGCGCAAGUCUGAACCAGCCAAGUAGCGUGAAGGAUGACUGCCCUACGGGUUGUAAACUUCUUUUAUAAAGGAAUAAAGCUCGGCACGUGUGCCCUUUUGUAUGUACUUUAUGAAUAAGGAUCGGCUAACUCCGUGCCAGCAGCCGCGGUAAUCCGGAGGAUCCGAGGGUUAUCCGGAUUUAUUGGGUUUAAAGGGAGCGUAGAUGGGUUGUUAAGUCAGUUGUGAAAGGUUGCAGCUGAACCGUGGAAUUGCAGUUGAUACUGGCGGUCUUGAGUGCAGUUGGGGUAGGCGGAAUUCAUGGUGUAGCGGUGAAAUGCUUAGAUAUCACGAAGAACUCCGAUUGCGAAGGCAGCUUACUAAGCUGCAUCUGACAUUGAGGCUCGAAAGUGUGGGUAUCAAACAGGAUUAGAUACCCGAGUAGUC
This 460-nucleotide ribosomal RNA is filed under the name uncultured bacterium. Its description in RNAcentral is "partial 16S ribosomal RNA". It matches the Rfam family "Bacterial small subunit ribosomal RNA", at positions 338 to 795 of the family's 1533-position model. The record is from RNAcentral.